Molecule: ribosomal RNA, 465 nt
Filed under: uncultured bacterium
Lineage: Bacteria
Description: partial 16S ribosomal RNA
Rfam family: Bacterial small subunit ribosomal RNA
Source: RNAcentral
GACGAACGCUGGCGGCGUGCUUAACACAUGCAAGUCGAACGGAAAGGCCCUGCUUGCAGGGUACUCGAGUGGCGAACGGGUGAGUAACACGUGGGUGAUCUGCCCUGCACUUCGGGAUAAGCCUGGGAAACUGGGUCUAAUACCGGAUAGGAGCCAUUUUUAGUGUGAUGGUUGGAAAGUUUUUUCGGUGUAGGAUGAGCUCGCGGCCUAUCAGCUUGUUGGUGGGGUAAUGGCCUACCAAGGCGGCGACGGGUAGCCGGCCUGAGAGGGUGGACGGCCACAAUGGGGCCUGGGUUAGGCCCAGGCCCCUAAGGGGGGGCAGCGGGGGGAAAAUUGGACCAUGGGGGCCAGGCUUGUGCAGCGACGCCGCGGGGGGGAAUGCCGCCUUCGGGGUGUAAAAUCCCUUUGCUAUGGACGAAGCUUUUUGUGACGGUACCUAGAUAAGAAGCACCGGCUAACUACGUG